CGUUAAUCGGAUUUACUGGGCGUAAAGCGUGCGUAGGCGGCUUCUUAAGUCGGAUGUGAAAUCCUGAGCUUAACUUAGGAAUUGCAUUCGAUACUGGGAAGCUAGAGUAUGGGAGAGGAUGGUAGAAUUCCAGGUGUAGCGGUGAGAUGCGUAGAGAUCUGGAGGAAUACCGAUGGCGAAGGCAGCCAUCUGGCCUAAUACUGACGCUGAGGUACGAAAGCAUGGGGAGCAAACAGGAUUAGAUACCCUGGUAGUCCAUGCCGUAAACGAUGUCUACUAGCCGUUGGGGCCUUUGAGGCUUUAGUGGCGCAGCUAACGCGAUAAGUAGACCGCCUGGGGAGUACGGUCGCAAGACUAAAACUCAAAUGAAUUGACGGGGGCCCGCACAAGCGGUGGAGCAUGUGGUUUAAUUCGAUGCAACGCGGAGAACCUUACCUGGUCUUGACAUAGUAAGAACUUUCCAGAGAUGGAUUGGUGCCUUCGGGAACUUACAUACAGGUGCUGCAUGGCUGUCGUCAGCUCGUGUCGUGAGAUGUUGGGUUAAGUCCCGCAACGAGCGCAACCCUUUUCCUUAUUUGCCAGCGAGUAAUGUCGGGAACUUUAAGGAUACUGCCAGUGACAAACUGGAGGAAGGCGGGGACGACGUCAAGUCAUCAUGGCCCGUACGACCAGGGCUACACACGUGCUACAAUGGUCGGUACAAAGGGUUGCUACCUAGCGAUAGGAUGCUAAUCUCAAAAAGCCGAUCGUAGUCCGGAUUGGAGUCUGCAACUCGACUCCAUGAAGUCGGAAUCGCUAGUAAUCGCGGGUCAGAAUGCCGCGGUGAAUACGUUCCCGGGCCUUGUACACACCGCCC
RNAcentral lists this ribosomal RNA (856 nucleotides) under uncultured bacterium. Its description in RNAcentral is "bacterial SSU rRNA". It matches the Rfam family "Bacterial small subunit ribosomal RNA", at positions 539 to 1395 of the family's 1533-position model. The record is from RNAcentral.